CGUAGGGGGCGAGCGUUGUCCGGAAUUACUGGGCGUAAAGGGCGUGUAGGCGGCCUUUCAAGUCGGCUGUGAAAUUCCUUGGCUUAACUGAGGGUGUGCAGUCGAAACUGAUGGGCUUGAGUGCAGGAGAGGGUGGUGGAAUUCCCGGUGUAGCGGUGACAUGCGUAGAUAUCGGGAGGAACACCGGUGGCGAAGGCGGCCUCCUGGUCUGUUACUGACGCUGAGGCGCGAAAGCCGGGGGAGCAAACAGGAUUAGAUACCCUGGUAGUCCAGGCCGUAAACUCUGGGUACUAGGUGUAGGGGGCUUCGAUGCCUUCUGUGCCGUAGUUAACGCAUUAAGUACCCCGCCUGGGGAGUACGAUCGCAAGGUUGAA
RNAcentral lists this ribosomal RNA (374 nucleotides) under uncultured bacterium. Its description in RNAcentral is "bacterial SSU rRNA". It matches the Rfam family "Bacterial small subunit ribosomal RNA", at positions 526 to 898 of the family's 1533-position model. The record is from RNAcentral.